This 303-nucleotide long non-coding RNA is filed under the name Salmo salar (Atlantic salmon). RNAcentral's name for it is "lncRNA (ENSSSAG00000084169.1)". Lineage: Eukaryota; Metazoa; Chordata; Actinopteri; Salmoniformes; Salmonidae. The record is from RNAcentral.
CUAGAGCAAGAAUUAUGAAAACCCUGACAUCUGCAGAGGCUGCACCGCAGUAAAUGCUGAACGGCCACUUCGGAUUAACCAUGCAGCUUAGUGUGCAGUGGACAUGGAUGGUUGAGUGAUGCAGUGAGCUCCGAAUCACACAGAAAAUACCAGAACCCAGUGAUGGCAGAGAUAAUGGAAGCGAAUCAUACAGCUGAAGCUGACAUGUAAAAACCACAAUGGGGGACCCACAAUGCUUUGCUUGUGUGCUUGCCUAAGCCGGUCCUGAAGGACUCCUAUGCACUCCCGAGUGUCGCAAAAGGC